Molecule: long non-coding RNA, 647 nt
Filed under: Cucumis sativus (cucumber)
Lineage: Eukaryota; Viridiplantae; Streptophyta; Magnoliopsida; Cucurbitales; Cucurbitaceae
Description: long non-coding RNA (CSAT_LNC000778)
Source: RNAcentral
GAGGCCCAACUCCGAGAAAGGGAGUUCAAUUGAAGAAGAGAGGCAUUGAGGAUUGGGAUGAUCCUCUAAAAUGAAAAGAUAUUGAUCAUUCUAAAGAUAAAAUACGAAGGGAAGGAAGAAAGUCAAAGAGAGAGAAGGCAAUGGAGGAAGAGUUGUCACGGCGAAGGAGUUCUAUCACAAGAAGAGUUAGACAAUCUAGUAAAGUAACAAGAAGAAAAGUCAGAAAAGAAGUGGACAGUUGUGGUUUGUCACGAGAAAGAGAAGACGAGGAAGAAGAAGGCAAAACAAAGAGUUUGGCUUCCUGAGAUGAUAAGGUUUACAUCUUGAAAGAAUGUCUAAUAGUCAGGUGACUGUUGGCUUACGUGUCAAGUUGGUUUUGGCUGAAUGGUGCGGCAAGGUGGUAAGACAACAUGUGUAAAGUUAUAAUUGGGACAGGUGGGAAAAAAAAGUAAUCGAUCCAAAGGAUUAGUAUAAAUAGGGGUGAAGGCCUAAUUAAGAGAAGUGUUUUUAUUUGGAGUUUUUGCUCAAAGAGUGUAAUAAGGAGUUGAGUUGCCGCUGAGAAACUUCUAGGCUAGGAGAGACGUUCAGGGAAGAAGGAGAUUAGACAUUGCGUGAGUGAUUUUAAUAACCUAAACACAUCUGCAGAC